CAGCCGCCGCGGUAAUACGUAGGUGGCGAGCGUUGUCCGGAAUUAUUGGGCGUAAAGGGAGCGCAGGCGGGCGAGUAAGUCUUUCUUAAAAGUGCGGGGCUCAACCCCGUGAGGGGAUGGAAACUGUAUGCCUUGAGUGCAGGAGAGGAAAGCGGAAUUCCCAGUGUAGCGGUGAAAUGCGUAGAUAUUGGGAGGAACACCAGUGGCGAAGGCGGCUUUCUGGACUGUAACUGACGCUGAGGCUCGAAAGCCAGGGGAGCGAACGGGAUUAGAUACCCCCGUAGUCCCUGUCUCUUAUACA
This 301-nucleotide ribosomal RNA is filed under the name uncultured bacterium. Its description in RNAcentral is "partial 16S ribosomal RNA". It matches the Rfam family "Bacterial small subunit ribosomal RNA", at positions 509 to 809 of the family's 1533-position model. The record is from RNAcentral.